RNAcentral lists this ribosomal RNA (279 nucleotides) under uncultured bacterium. RNAcentral's name for it is "partial 16S ribosomal RNA". It matches the Rfam family "Bacterial small subunit ribosomal RNA", at positions 506 to 784 of the family's 1533-position model. The record is from RNAcentral.
UGCCAGCCGCCGCGGUAACACGUACUGUGCGAACGUUAUUCGGAAUCACUGGGCUUAAAGGGUCCGUAGGCGGCGUAGCAAGUCAGGUGUGAAAGUCAAUGGCUCAACCAUUGAAUUGCGCUUGAAACUGCUAUGCUUGAGUAUCCUAGGGGUGUGCGGAACUGCCAGUGGAGCGGUGAAAUGUGUUGAUAUUGGCAGGAACACCGGUGGCGAAAGCGGCACACUGGAGGAUAACUGACGCUGAGGGACGAAAGCCAGGGGAGCGAACGGGAUUAGAUA